This 327-nucleotide ribosomal RNA is filed under the name uncultured bacterium. Its description in RNAcentral is "bacterial SSU rRNA". It matches the Rfam family "Bacterial small subunit ribosomal RNA", at positions 28 to 334 of the family's 1533-position model. The record is from RNAcentral.
GAUGAACGCUGGCGGCGUGCUUAACACAUGCAAGUCGAACGAAGCACUCUACUUGAUUUCCUUCGGGAAUGAUUGUUUUGUUGACUGAGUGGCGGACGGGUGAGUAACGCGUGGGUAACCUGCCUCAUACAGGGGGAUAACAGUUGGAAACGACUGCUAAUACCGCAUAAGCCCACGACCUCGCAUGAGGUUGUGAGAAAAACUCCGGUGGUAUGAGAUGGACCCGCGUUGGAUUAGCUUGUUGGUGGGGUAACGGCUCACCAAGGCGACGAUCCAUAGCCGACCUGAGAGGGUGACCGGCCACAUUGGGACUGAGACACGGCCCAA